This 375-nucleotide ribosomal RNA is filed under the name uncultured organism. Its description in RNAcentral is "partial 16S ribosomal RNA". It matches the Rfam family "Bacterial small subunit ribosomal RNA", at positions 527 to 896 of the family's 1533-position model. The record is from RNAcentral.
GGAGGAGGCAAGCGUUGUCCGGAAUUAUUGGGCGUAAAGAGCGCGUAGGCUGUUUUUCAAGUCAUAUGUGAAAACCUCAGGCUUAACUUGAGGACUGCAUAUGAAACUGGAAAACUUGAGUGCAGUAGGGGAAAGUGGAAUUCCUGGUGUAGCGGUGAAAUGCGCAGAUAUCAGGAAGAACACCGGUAGCGAAGGCGGCUUUCCGGGCUGCUACUGACGCUGAGGCGCGAAAGCUAGGGGGGAGCAAACAGGAUUAGAUACCCUGGUAGUCCUAGCUGUAAACGAUGGACACUAGGUGUGGGAAGUUAUCGACGCUUUCCGUGCCGGAGCUAACGCAUUAAGUGUCCCCGCCUGGGGAGUACGGCCGCAAGGCUA